GUCUAGAGUCAUACCUCCCUGAGCACACUGGAUCUCACCUGAUCUUGGAAGGUAAGCAGAAUUGCACCUAGUUAGUACUUGGAUGGGAAUACAAUAAUAUUUUUUUUACAUU
This 112-nucleotide ribosomal RNA is filed under the name Erinaceus europaeus (western European hedgehog). Lineage: Eukaryota; Metazoa; Chordata; Mammalia; Eulipotyphla; Erinaceidae. The record is from RNAcentral.